GACGAACGCUGGCGGCGUGCUUAACACAUGCAAGUCGAACGGAAAGGCCCUGCUUGCAGGGUACUCGAGUGGCGAACGGGUGAGUAACACGUGGGUGAUCUGCCCUGCACUUCGGGAUAAGCCUGGUAAACUGGGUCUAAUACCGGAUAGGAGCCAUUUUUAGUGUGAUGGUUGGAAAGUUUUUUCGGUGUAGGAUGAGCUCGCGGCCUAUCUGCUCGUUGGUGGGGUAAUGGCCUACCAAGGCGGCGACGGGUAGCCGGCCUGAGAGGGUGGACGGCGACAUUGGGACUGAGAUACGGCACAGACUCCGACGGGAGGCAGAAGUGGGGAAUAUUGCACAAUGGGCGCAAGCCUGAUGCAGAGACGCCGCGUGGGGGAUGACGGCCUUCGGGUUGUAAACUCAUUUCGCUAGGGACGAAGCUUUUUGUGACGGUACCUAGAUAAGAAGCACCGGCUAACUACGUG
Molecule: ribosomal RNA, 465 nt
Filed under: uncultured bacterium
Lineage: Bacteria
Description: partial 16S ribosomal RNA
Rfam family: Bacterial small subunit ribosomal RNA
Source: RNAcentral